Molecule: non-coding RNA, 303 nt
Organism: Python bivittatus (Burmese python)
Lineage: Eukaryota; Metazoa; Chordata; Lepidosauria; Squamata; Pythonidae
Source: RefSeq, a predicted model, not a curated record
UCAAGAACAGGAAAGCUUCCUGGCUGUUUCACGCCCACCCGCACUGCCGCAAUCUCCCAUUCUAGUAUUGCUAGACAACGACAAGCUGAUUUAUUUGAUGGAUGUUCUCCACCCAGGCAGCAUUCUUGUUCUUGAUCCUAUGUGUUUUCUUUAGCCAGUUGGUAGGUCUCCGUCAUCUGCACCAUAUGUAUCUUCGUACAGUGCACCAUUCUCCCAGGCAACUCAGUCUUACAUAGUUUCCCUAUGUCAACAUCACCAGCCCUGUUCUCUGUUGUAAUUCCUUAGGCCCCAGCAGGAAGGAUC